Molecule: non-coding RNA, 214 nt
Filed under: Halanaerobium hydrogeniformans
Lineage: Bacteria; Bacillati; Bacillota; Clostridia; Halanaerobiales; Halanaerobiaceae
Description: T-box sequence
Rfam family: T-box leader
About the family: Uncharged tRNA acts as the effector for transcription antitermination of genes in the T-box leader family. T-boxes are found upstream of many aminoacyl-tRNA synthetase genes and some amino acid biosynthetic genes usually in Gram-positive bacteria.
Source: RNAcentral
UUAUAUCCUGGGAAAGGAAAGUAAAUUUGUAUUUUUAGUAAAGCAAGCCGAAGUAGCUGUGAGUUCGGUCUAAAAUUCAUUUUGAAACGCACCUGGAGGAUCUCUUCUGAAAUAAGUAGGAAGAGACGCUAAAUGGCGUUAAAUUUUGAGUGGUCAGUUCUUAAGUUUAUGCUGACAACUAGAGUGGUAACACGGGUAAUUCCUCGUCUCUUAU